RNAcentral lists this long non-coding RNA (21244 nucleotides) under Elaeis guineensis (African oil palm). RNAcentral's name for it is "long non-coding RNA (EGUI_LNC030097)". The record is from RNAcentral. Lineage: Eukaryota; Viridiplantae; Streptophyta; Magnoliopsida; Arecales; Arecaceae.
GUCGUCGUUAAUUUCUCGUCGGAUCUCGUCUGAUGUCGUCUACUUAUCUUUGAUGUCUAGUGUGGGUUUGAUGGUGUCUUCUUCUUGGCCUGCCUUAUCUUAUUUAUCUCUGUUGUUAUGGUUUAUGGUGUCUGCUAGUGGGGGAAGAGAGCUACAUCUAUGAACUUUUUUACCAGAGUACCAGCAGUAAUAAAGUUAGCUUUUUUAACAAAAGAUUGUGUUUUCCCCUUCUUUUUAUCUUCGAUCGAACGGUUAAUUUUUUGCAAUUUUAUAGAUUUGCGUUCUGUAAUGACUGUGAAAGUUGAAAUUAGGGUUUGGAUGUUGAUUGAAUGAUCGAGUAUCGCACUUUUUAGGGAUUUCUAUGCGCCGAGUACUAUGGAGAUUGAAGUUAGGGUUUUUAGAUUUGGAUUUGGAUUCGUAGAUGAUUUGGUUUCGGAUUUGUGUUUGGGUUUUUCGCUUAAGAUUGUCUCUGGCUUCUCUCCCUCCUCUCUUUUCUUUAUGCGCAAAGAGCGAUUAGUUUUCUCGUUUCAGUCGUCAUUUCUCUUGGCGACUCUACUGUUGUUACUCGAGCCUCACUUAUCCAAUCUUCUUAUUUUUUUUAACAUUUCUUAUCUUUUUUUCUUUUUUUAAUGAUCAAGUUGGUGAGAAAGGACAAAGGAUAUAGACAUUAAUUUCCUCCACUUUGAUCCAAUCAAGGAGACACCAUGUGGAAAAGACAUGACUACUUCCUCUCAUUUUACAUUUUUUAAAAAAAAAUUAAUAGUAUUUGAUGGGAUUUACUCUAUUUUGGUAGAUUGUUUCUUGGUUUUUUGGUACAUCACCACUAGUGUACGGNNNNNNNNNNNNNNNNNNNNNNNNNNNNNNNNNNNNNNNNNNNNNNNNNNNNNNNNNNNNNNNNNNNNNNNNNNNNNNNNNNNNNNNNNNNNNNNNNNNNNNNNNNNNNNNNNNNNNNNNNNNNNNNNNNNNNNNNNNNNNNNNNNNNNNNNNNNNNNNNNNNNNNNNNNNNNNNNNNNNNNNNNNNNNNNNNNNNNNNNNNNNNNNNNNNNNNNNNNNNNNNNNNNNNNNNNNNNNNNNNNNNNNNNNNNNNNNNNNNNNNNNNNNNNNNNNNNNNNNNNNNNNNNNNNNNNNNNNNNNNNNNNNNNNNNNNNNNNNNNNNNNNNNNNNNNNNNNNNNNNNNNNNNNNNNNNNNNNNNNNNNNNNNNNNNNNNNNNNNNNNNNNNNNNNNNNNNNNNNNNNNAUUUGAUGGGAUUUACUCUAUUUUGGUAGAUGUUUCUUGGUUUUUUGACAUCACCACUAGUGUACGGCAUUUUUAAGUCAUGCAGACAGGGUUAUGCGGUGGAGUAAUCCAUGAUGGAGGAGCAACUAUUUUCUUUAAUCAGGAAAAAAAGUAAUUUUUUUCCCUUGACGUAUUUAUGAUAUUUUGGAAUUAUUUAUUUGCAUAAAAUGUAUAAUAUAGUUAGUUAGUGGGUAAUUAGUUUGGGUGCGAUUAUAUCUAUAUCUAUUCUCAUAAGGUUUGUCAGAUUAUUAACUGGUUAAUCCAUCUGGAUUAUCUGCAUCCGAUCCAUCUGAAGGCAUCUUUUCCAUAUGUUAAGCAUCGUAUUCUUACAAAAAAAAGUAGAAAAAAAGGGUACCCACAGUGACCUUGGAAGAUGUGGGCACGUCUUCAGAUAUUUUUGGGUACGAGGGCUCCUGGCCCGUGCUUUGUGCGACAAUGGGAAGGAGAAAAGUCGUGCAUGUGACAUUGGGUAGGGCCCGUGGGAGCCGCGGCCGGCCGAAAGGAUAGGGUUUGAACAGGUCCAUCUGACGCCAAAUUGAGUGCCAACAAUUGCAAAAAAAAAAAAAAAAAAAAGAAAGAUAAUUAGGUACCUGCCACCUCCGUGCCAACUUGCGAGUCUGUUCACGUUUUUGUUAUCGCUUUUGGUGACACAAUUUCUAUUUUCAUAUUCUGUAGCCGGUGGUGCGCCGCUCGAGGUUAUGUGGUGCUUUAAGUUUUUUACAUCUUACACUUUUAAAAAGUUUGGUCUAUGGAUUUGGUCGAUACUGUAAUCUUUUCAUUUACCUACUUGCUAAGAGAUCAAAUAAUUUCGGAUAAUGACUGGAGAGCAAAUUUUUUUUUUUUUGGAAACAUGCAAGUGGUAACGUGUCCUACAGAAAAAAUAAUUCAGCUCAAGAUAUACAACCCAUCAUUCUCGUUCCCGUUCUUUGAAAAUAUAAAAAAGAAAGCCCUCUUCUGCAUAGAUUCUAUAAUUCCAUCUGAGUAAUCUUUCUUUUUCGUGCUCAACCACCAAAAAAAUGAUUCCCACACUGAUCAUUUUCGUAACUAAAAGGAUGCUUUUAGUUCACCAUCGGAAUUAGAAUUGAAGACAAUUUUGAUUUGCCGCUAGAAUCAGAAUCAAAAUAUGGUUCGAAGGAAAAUAAAAUUCUUAUCAAGCGAAUAAAAGCCAUUCAUUCUCAUUCCUAUUCCAAAGCUUAAAUGCUCCCAACCAACAUGCCUUAAGUUGCUAAUAUAACUAUUUAGCAAAAUUCUGCACACAACUGGAACAGGAACUUACGAUCUAAUGAAAGAGAUUGAUUCCUCUUGAGCAAUUUGAGAUGCAAUAAAAGUAUGCCCUGCCUGAGUGACCACAUGAAAAUGUGAUAUAAAUGGGCAUUUUUGAAUUUAUGAACCAAAGUAUUUCACUACAACAGUCUAAUUUACAAACAACUAUGUACAAAGAAAUGCCUUGCAAAAUUGCCGAAAAGUUUAUUCACUGGCUGGCUAUACCGUACCCUCUGCAACGCUGAUCUACAAGGUUGCCUGCUUCUACGCCAAAACCGCAAAAAAAUUAACUUAUCUCAACUUCAACUCCAUGAAAGAAUAGAAUAAAGUACUGAAGGGAAUGACUGUAGCCGCUCUAUUUCCACCAGGUGCCAACGAGAAUAUGGUCCAUGUAGAUUUCUUUGAUACAAAAUCACUUGACAUAAUCUGGAGAAUCUGAACUUAGUAACAUAACAAAAUGGUCCUCUUCAACAUUCUUCAAUGUAUCAGCAGAUCCUCUAUUAAUGUACCAAGAUAUGGAAGCUGUGUCCAGUAAAGCGACAUGUUAGAUUAAAACAUGUAGACUGAGAAAUCAUAAUAUCUUUUUUAAAUAUUCAAAUAAGCAUUCCUGGAAUUAUGCCUCCAGCAGCCUAUACUACAAACAAUGAAUGAUGUGUUUAGUUUUAGCUAGUUAUUGUUGAAGAGGUACAAGCUUUUGGACACUGUUUAAUCAGAGCAUAUACAAGCUUUCUGAAACAUUGCAAGGAAGAUGAUGUAGAACUCGCAGCGGUUAACUGUUGCUCUCUAUGAACAAUUAAGUUGAGAGAUCUUGCGGCCAGGAGGGUGACAUGAAUUUUAGAGAUGCGUGAUGAACUGUGUCCAAGUGAUAAAAAAAGAUAUGACCAGAUCUGAAAGAGGUGUAGCAUUUAUGAAAAAUAGGAUUGCUGUCCAAUUAAGGCAUGCUUUUCUGAAGACUGACAAAGUAAAUACAAGGGAAUGUUCCAUCCAGACAAACAAAAUCCUAAGAAAGGCUAUGUUGAUACGAGUUUUAGUCAAAAAAAGAGAGAGGAGACCCAGAUUUGGAGCAAAUAGUCACUAUUUCAUAACUAAGAAGGUUGAAUGAGCAAUCUUUGAAAAACCAUAUCCAUAAUCCAAGAGAAGCACUCUCAAUGGUCUGGACAUGGUGGCUCCAUUUUGUGGUUAAAGGGGAAGAAAGGAAAAAGGUAGGGCAAGAGAGAUGACACAACGAAACCCUGAUCCUGGUCCUUCUAAAGAUUUUAAAUGCAGCAUUCAAAACUGGUUCCAUAAAAUCAGUUCCACAUAUUAAUGCUAUUUUACCUGCUGCAGGAGCCAUUUCCUGCUCUCUGGCUGUAUGCAAUAAGACUGUCCCGGAGAGAACUGUUAUAAACCCACACAAUUCAGAAGCUAUAUCGCUUACAUCUUGACCAGACCAAUCCUGUAGCCAUUGAGAAAAGGGUAAGAAACAAACCUUAGCCAAAGCAUUUCAAUACAUACGUACAUACAACAUUAGUCAAAACAUACCUUGAACAUUAUUGCACUUGCCACUAUCGUGAGAGUGGUGAACAUAACAUAGUAAAUUGGGGAGACAAUUGCUGUAUUGAAGGUAUCCAGUGCCUGAGGGAGGUAACAGGUAAAAUUCAUUAAAUUGUAAAGGAUGCUGAUACUUGCGCUGAUAAAACUGCAUAAACAAUCACUUGAUGAAUUGUAUACAACAAUUGCAAACCACAGGUAUGCCAUCUGACAUGCAAUGGAUGUAUUUUUGUCAAGCAUGCAUUCCAAGAACAUAAUGGAUCUAUUCCAUCUGAAACAGGGUGAUUCCUUUCCAUGGUAAGCUAUGCAGAAUCUGAUAAAGAAAGAUUGCCAAAAUAUUGUUAACAGCUCCUUUGAAGUGCAGUAGCACUACCUUUUUAGUAUGUACCACUUCAUUUCUUAACUGAUUAUUCCUUUAACCACAAGUCAGCAACAAAUAUAAUUAUGAGUAAUCCUUCUUUUGGGAAGAAGAGAUAUCGCCUCUCUGUCCCUGUAUCAUCCUUGUGGUUUGUGAUGGAGCCCAGCAUUUAUAAAUAGAUUUAAUGCAUGUUAAUUGUUUUUGUUGGAACAAAAAAAGUGGAGCCAAAACUCUACUUUCAAAAUUUAACCAACAAAAUUGAAGAUUUAUGUACAUGAAGAUACAUGAGCUCAAUUACGUCAUGGAAAGUUAAAAUUAAUUAUCUUAAGGACAAGUGGCAUUCCACGUUCUGGACCAGAAGUGUCAGUCAAACCAACAUAUGCAUCAAAAGGGAUUCUGAUAUGCAGAAUGUAUGGUCAGAGGAUUAAUACCCUAGGGCAAUGAACUAGUGUGAACUCAUUAAAGCUACAAAGUUCAUACAGCUCUGGCAAUUGCCCUCAGCAGCACAGCAUGUGGCAUGAGAGCUUAUGUAGAACUCUUGAAAUACUUUAAUCAAAUGUACAAUGCACCCAGCCUUACAUGCUUCCUCAUGCAGGCAUAUUUGUUGAAAACAACCGGAUGGAAGAAACAGUACGAUGCACAAAAUAGCUUCAAGAUUUUUAGCUAUGGAGAGAUGCUGAUAUUUAGUAAUUAAUCGAAUGCCAUUUGAUGGUAAAACGUGCCACGGUGAUGUUCUGCAAUCAUUUUAUAAAGGCACAGAAAGAAUUUUAAUUAAAGGGACAGAGAGAGACAGAGAGGGAAAAUUUGUUGAACAAUGCCAACUAGUCACACAGGUAACAAUGAUGAGCAUUAAAGAGAAAAUAUGCAGAAAAAAAGGAAGGUGAAAUUUAAGAUUGUAUUUCUCAGGACAAAGUAAGAAUUCAUAAUACAGGACAAGGUAUCAUUCGCCGAACCAUCCCGAAUCGGACGGUUUAGGCCGUGCCGAACCAUACCGGCAAGAUACCAAACCAUACCAGCAAGAUACCGAUCCAGUUCCAAAAAAUAGCACAGCAGCCAUCUCGGAGGGAGGGAAAAGAAAGAGAAAGAGAGAGAGAGAGGGAGAGAAGAGAAAGAGGAAGAGAGGGCCUCCGACCGCUGUCGGAGCUCUUUCCGAGCUCGAUAAGGACGAAGGGAGGAAAGAAGAAAGGAUGAGACCUCACCAGAGCACUAAAGGCCCUCAAAGGCCUUGGACGGAUGGCAAUGCCACCGCGAGCUCUUUGAUGGCCGGCGAGCCAGCACCGAGAGAGCGGAGUUCAGCCGAGGUCAGAGGAGGGUUUACCCUUGUUUCUUUUCUUUUUUUUUUUUGAGUUUUAACGGGCAAAGGGGGCAACUGUGUUGCCGACUUUAUUCUUUUUUUUUUUUUAAUUCAGCUGAAGUGGGCCAAUGGACUUCACCUUAUUUUUAAUGCAGUUGCCAACAUCGUCCGCUAAAAAUAAAAAAAAAAAAAUCAAAACAUGGGCGAAUCCCUAUUUCAAACUGGAAGGCGAAGGCCCUCCUCCAGCCUCAGCCACCCUCCGUUUUCUUGGCGCUGGCUCGCCAGCCGUCGGAGAGCUCGCGGCGACAUCGCCGCCCGUCCGAAGGCCUCCAAUAAUUCGGUGAGGUCUCCCUCUCUCUCUUUUUCCCUCCCUCCACCCUUAUCAAGCUCGAAAAUGGCUCCGACGGCCUCCAACGGCUGUCGAAGGCUCUCUCUUCCUCUCUCCCCCCUCUCCCUCUUCUUCUCCCCCUUUCUCUUCCUCUCUUUCUUCUCCCUCUCCCCUUCUCUCCCCUGUUAGUUUGUGCCAGUCCGGUCCGGUACGGACCUGUAUCGAUUCAUACCGCCGACCAACCGGCACGGGUCCCGAUUCCGGCUCCGGGAACCUUGGGACAAGGAAAUAAAAAGAAAUUAAGGGGCUUCAGAAGUAGCAUAGACAAGACAUUAGAAAUGAUACUAAGCCAUGCAGAAUAAAGGUCUGAUGGGGCAUAACAUAUUUUGAUGGAAAGAAUUAAAAAAAAAAUGAAUAGAUCAAAGAGGAAAUUGUGCAAGCUGUACACAUAGAGGUGAAGUUUUAAAAUAAAUGCCAAUCCAAUGUAAUGCGAUGGCACUUAUUAAUCAAGGACAUUAAGAACAAAUAAGAUAUGGAUUGAAGUAGUUAUAUAUCUGGAAAGACCAAGAAGUAGCAGUAUCAAUGAGAAUAGAGUGAUCAUGAAUUGAUUUUUAAAUACAUUUGGAGAUACCAAGGAAUUCAUGUGUCACAAUUACCAAAGAAGGAAAAGUAGUAGGAAAAAGUGCGAGUAAAAAUUUAUUUCCAAUCAGAAAGGAAUUAGGAACUAAUUUACAAAAUGAAAAAUUGGUUUCUGUUUAAAAGAAAAGAGGAAAAGGUAGGAUAGGAAUCAUAAAUAUAUUUCUAUUUGCCUCAUAAUAAAUCAUACUUAUACCAAAUGAAAAUAGGCGGUGACUUAGAUAAAUGUAAAGGAAGUUGAAGUUUGAAAAUGCAAAUAAAUACGAAACAUAGAGUGAUGUAUAAGUCAAAACAUAACUGAUAUAUCAGUCUCAUGACCAGAUAAAUCCGAUGGGCUGGUGCUGAGUUGGGAACCAUUUAUGAAGGAGCUCAAGUAAGGGAAUAUAUCAUGAUUCAAUUUAAAUAUAUCAUGUGUGUGUGCAUAUGUGAAUCCGUAAAUGCGUGCAAGUGUUUGCAUGUCUGCUGUAAGUGAAAGGUAUAGAACUGAAAGUUAUGAACAUUACAAGUCACCCGUAACAGCUAAAAAGAUGCACGGAUGCACACACAUGUAUGCAUGCAUGUAUGUAUACGCUUAGCUUUAAGCUUAUUUAAUUUCAUCUUUUCAAUGAGGAUGGCCUUAACACCAUGAGAAGUUCAAAUAAGAAAUAUAAGAACAAGAUUUUUAUCCAUUCUAAUAUGACAGUCCAAUUGCACAUGUGGAUAUGACGUCAAAUUUAGCAAUUCUUGUCAGAGAAAUGAUUUGACUACUUUUAUAAUUGAAAUCACAACCAUAUAUAGGAAGGUUAGAGCCUGGCAAAAAAACUAAUAUCUCCUGCAGCUUGCUGCUCUUCUCAUAAUUGUAAAUUGAUUUCUACCAAGAGGAAAUUGCAUAUCUCAUAUCAAACAAGGAUAAUGAAAACUCAAGAAAGUUGUAGACUUUAGUUCUAAAUGCUGUUAAUUCUCGGGUUCAAGAUAUUUUUAUCGCUUUCAAGAGAAGGUGGCCCUACAAACAAUUUUGAUAGGUCAGCACUUGUUGAAUGGACAUCUCUAAUCUCAAACCCAGACAAGGCACUUCAAACUAAAUGGAUCAAAGCCACCUCUUCAUGUUGUGGAACUUAAUUGUGAAGGUGGAUGUAGAGGUAGCGUGUGUCUGGUGAUGGCAGUGUUAUAAGGGACACCACAGGCAGAUUAAUUUUUACAUCCUUUCAUGGGUUCGAAUCCAAUGUUUUUAGUGAAAUGAGUGUCCUUCUCUUGAUGUUUGAAACUUUGAACCCAAGGAGGCUUCUCUUCUAUCAUUUUGGAAUCUAAUACUCAAAUACUGGUUGAUGUUCUGUAUCAUAUUCCCUCGAAGCUUUGCUAACUGGUUCAGAAAUUCAGGUUGCUGACAUAAAAUCUAUAUGGUGGUUCAAUGUAUUUAAAGAACGCAAUUUGGCUAAGGAUGGCAAAUAUAGCUUGUGAUAUCCAAGAAAUUCGUGUUCUCAGAUCGUUAGCCCACUUCCAGCUGUCACAAAAUGUUCUCUAACACUGGAUCAGAUGGGCUUUCAGUAACCUAGGUUCAUGUUUGUUAAGAUCUCCCUCUAGUAACCUAAUGGGCUUUCUUUGCUUUCGUUAUAUUUAUUUUUUUCUUCUUUUUAACCCUCUUUUUAUUUAAAUAGUCCAUGCUAAACACUCACCCAGGACAUGGUUAUUUUACUAAAAAAGAAAAAAAGAUAAGAGUAUAAACCAGAUAUAGAGAGAUAGCUGCAGGUAAAACUGAUUUCAGCCAUGAGUAUAUAUAAAGCAGAUCAUAGAAAAAAAAAAAGGAGAAACAAGAACUAAAGCAUGUACAAAGUAAUAAUACUUUAUGGUAUCAUGUAGAGCCUUCCAUGCUAAAACAAAUUAAUUUUGAAAAUAAAAGUCUACAAAUAUCACCCUUAACUGAAUUUCAUUAAUAAAUUACCAUCAUCUGGCAUGAUAUAAAGCAACCAUAAGUAGUCAUAUUAUAUACUGCAAACCUGGUUCAAUCAAGUAACCAGAGACAACCUCUGCAAAUAUGAACAGAAUAAGAUAAAUAAAAAAAAAUAAAUCAAAGGUAACCACCUACAGAGACGUUAGAUAUAGGCAUAAUUAGAAAAUGGUUCCGCACAUAAAGCUUGGAAAGUAAUAAUCAUAUAAAAAUAAAAAUACACAUUAAGAUUGUCAACAAGCAAGUCUUAUGAGUGUUUUCCUUUCAAGUUGGUAUAAGAACAUAAUAACAACCUCAUAUGGACUUGAUAGAUAAUGUAAAUUUUGUGAAAAUUCAAUUGCAAUGGCAGUCUGGAGGAUUGCAGGUUAAAAUGACUAUAGUAGGAUAAAAUAUCAAGAAAAAGUUCUUAUCAGGAAAAAGGCCUGUAGGCCAUGGCUUAUCUUUUUAACUAAUGGAGACAUCAAAUAUGAAUAACAAGAUCCAACAAAAUGCAUAUUGUAGAAACCUUGUUCAAGUAAUUCAAUUGAGCGAUGACACAAACGACAGCAACUGUGACAAAUAGCCAUGUCUGUGGAUAAGCAAUCUGACUCAUUCCCUCCAAUGUAAGUUUUAUUGCAAUUCCAAUGGCCUUGAUGCUAACAACCUGUGCACCCCCAUUAAGCAAAAAGAAAUGGAGCUUGAGAAUGGAACAAGAUAAGAAGAAAGUUUUUACCACAGUUAUGAGUGCCAAAAAUUCUGAUAACUGAGUGCAUGUGAUUCACAAUAACCAGCUCAAGGAAAAACAAUUUACCGUCAGUGAGCCCAUUAGAGAGCAGAUGCCAAGGUAAACCAAUAUGUUGGUCUGUCCAUAACGAGGUUCAAAGUGUAGUACUAAUGCCAAUACAAUUGAUAAUGUAGCUCCAGAGUAAACUAAAAAUGCUGCAAACAGGACAAAUGCAAGAAAAGAAAUUAAUUAUAAUGCAGAACUGCCUGGGUAUUUGACAAACAGUAUAGUGAAGACAAAAGAGAACAACAAUUGUCUGCGAUACCAGGUUGAGUAGCUAGAUUCCAAAUUUCUUCUACAGAACUCGGAGAAUGCUCCUGAGGUGCGUGAAUUAUGAUAACAACUGAGCCAACGAUACAGGACACACACCCCAAAACACCUAGUUUCUGUAAUCGUUCUUUCAGCAUGAAGUGUGCCAAAACAGCACUAUUUGGUCCAUCAAAAACAUAAAUUCUCAAAAUCAGUAGACCCAAUUAGAUAUAUUAAGCACAGAAAACUGUUUUCUUAGUUUUACCUGACAAUAAUACUCAAUGCACCAAGAGGAGUUACAAGAACUGCAGGGGCAAAAACAUAAGCCACAAAAUUUGCCACCUCACCUAUCAUCACUGGUUGUAAAGAAACUUGACUUUCAGAUAAAGAAAUUUUGCCCCUCUAACCACCAUUAAUAUUGUUUUUGGAAAAAAAAAAAGCAUGUGAAUAUAAUAAUUUUGUGACUCAAAAUCUACAAAUAGCUUACUUGUUAGCAUGCCAGCCCACCACAAAGGCUCUAAUAGGUAUGCAUACCCUCCAAAACCUACGGUAUAAAAGGAAUAAGGCAAUAACCAGAAAACAAAGUUAAAAAUGCAUAGGAAAGAAGUGAAGUCUUCCGAGUAUAAUCACAUAGAAGAUCAGAAGAUCUUGAAAAUCAGUAAGUUCCUAGAUGGAAAUAACCCAACGUAUUGCUUUUUUUUUUUUUUUAUGUUUCAAAGUUCAUGAUAAUUCUAAGCCAAAGAAAGUAAAUAAAAGACAACAAAUGAAAAAAGAAUAUCAAUUUGGUAUUUUCCACCAACAAAUGAUGUUUACCUAGUAAAAUUUGCUUACUCCUGCAACACCUAAACAAUAAGAUGGAAACAAAGAUAUGGCAGUUUUUCUCUGACUCCAAACCGAAAUUUGAAGCUUAUUAAGAACACAUAAGGCGAUUGUAUCCUCACACCAUCUCAACCUCAUGAAAGAAUGGAAGCCACAAUGAAAGAAAAUAAGAAUUGAAAGUUUCCAACUUGAAAAGCAAGUGGGGAAUGGUUUAGGAUGACACACACAAUAAGUAGUUAAGAAUCAGCUUCGCCAUUCAGGCACUGACCUUUCCACAGAAAAAAUAAGUUUCAAAUAGGAUGAGAAUUUGGCAGUCACAAAGAAUGUAUAAAGUUCCAACAACAAGAAAUCAAUAAAUUCCAAGUUAUCAUAUACAACAACUAAAGCCUACCCAGUUAAGAAACUUUUCUUACGAGAGAAUAUGAUCUGUAACUGGUUUCAUGUUGAGGAAAAAAAACAAAUAUAGUUUUGAUUACUUUCAAAAUUUCAGUUUCUAAAGUGCUUGUAACAUACGCCACCUUGAAUAUUUCAUUUUUAUGUGAAUAUCUUAUGUCAUGGACUAUUUCCCUUUAGGACUGUGGCACAUAAGAAUUGGAAGAUAAACCACAGCCUAGGUGCCUUGCACUCCUAACUCUUUGUCCCUUUUUUUCCUGUUCAUCUUUCUUUUCUUCUUCCACCUAUUACGUAAACCAAAGAUAAAGCUUGCCCAGCUAUACAUGCAUAAGUUAAAGUUUGGAAGGUGCUUGAUGUUACUAGGAUCAAUUUUCUUGAACACCUUCUUUAUCAUGACACCCUGUCCUUUUCCUUUUUCUAAUUUUCCAUUUUCUAAUGUUGAUAGGAUCCACUUUCUUAACAUUUCUUCUUCAGCUAAAUCUUUGCCUUUUCCCUUAAAUUUUGCAAAAGAGAGAAAAAAUGGGCAGUAAUAUCUAUGGAACAUAAAGUGGGUGACAUCCUAUAAAGUAAAAAGAUAUUUAUGAGAAUGGUUUUGGCUUGUCACUAAGGCAAAAGAUGAAUUAUGGGGCAUGGCAUAAUUUAAAAGGAAAAAGAAAAAGAAAAUCAAGAUCAUGGGAUCUCUCCACAAACAUAUUGCCCGAUACACAGACUCCAGAUAGAGACUAAAAAAAUGCAUUGAUCUUUUCUAAUGAGAUUUGCUUGAAAGCAUGGAAUGAAAAGAAUGGAGAUAAGUUUGCCCUUCAUCAAUAGCCAUUUAAAGUUCAUUCUUUUCAUCAAUUACCAGCAUUUUACAUCUUGUAAUAUUAAGAGUUGAGCACAUUCAUAGCAUUUAAGAGGAGGUAUUAACUAUCAUGAUUCUCAUCAGUUUCAAAUAUUUUGUUAUUACUUUUCUUAAUUUCUCUUAUUCUCUCCCUGCCGGAGCAAGGCUUAAAACAAGAGUAUUUAUUAAAGAUGAGAAUGUCUAUACAGUUAUGCAGAUUUGAGACAUGUGGAGGUACCUUUUUGUUGGAGGAUCAGUGGGAACAGAGGCUGGAAGUAUGGAGUCAAGGAGUCAAUAUUUCAACAAGAGAAUAUGUGCUACGAUACUAGACACAAUUAUAAAAUGUUUGUAACCUUGUUAAAAAAGAGAUGAGGGGAAGAGAAGGGAGGCAAUGACAAAUUCAAAGAUACAUGCAGAUAAAAGUUGAUGGUUAUAGAUAAGCACUUAAGACAGUGUUUGUUUCUCCAUUAUUAGAUCAUUCUAGCUCCAAAUCUUGAAGAUGCUUGAGUAUGUGAGGCAUUAAUCAAACAGACAUUACCGUGAAUCAUGAUAUGUGUUUGAUGAUGAUAGAAUUACUACAUUGAAAUAUCAAGGUUUCCAUAUCCAAAUCGCUAGCCACUUAGUUAAAAUAUGUUUGAGGACAACAAAGCAACACCAUCAAAAUAUCAAAUUACUAGCCACUUAGUUAAAAUCAGGAUUACUGCACUAGUGUUUGGUAUUACAUUAAGAAGAGUAGCUAAAACGAAAACCUCAAACAUUGCAGGACUGAAUUGAUGAUAGUCAUUAGCUACAAAGAAUUAAAAUCGUUUCCAAGGACUUCUAAUCUCCAGAGUCAUGUCCCUUUGCAAGAUUAGUCUCAAAUCUCCACAAACAUCUGGAUUUUUUAUAUUAAAUAUUAAGAGAACAGGGAAAUCAAUGUAUGAAUUUUAGAUUAUAUUCCAAGCUCUACGGAUUUCUUCCAAGAGCAAAAUUAAAUAUGAUGAACGAUAAGCCACCAAGGAAGCUGGAAAACUGUAUUGUAAUACUUAAUGAGCAUGAAACACAUCAAGAUUAGUAUUUUUUUUUUUUUCUUGCCCCAUUGAAUAUAUCCAUCUCUCCCCAAAUCAAGAAAAGAGGAACACAAGAUCUAGGGUUUCUGACCAGCAGGGAUGCCGAAUCUGCCGGCGCGCUUGAGCCCCUUCUUCUUCAAAAUGAAACUGGCGCCGAUGAACGCACCCGACACCGCGGCCAAGAUCAGCCCUUUAGUGUUGUCCGACACCCGUGCGAUCGACUCCAUGCCCCUCCCCUUCUUUACCUUCUAUCCCGCUUCUAAUCUCUCCCUAUCUUUCUCCUGAUCUGUUCUCUUCGCCUUUUCCAGAUACACACAUAGAGAGAGACAGAGAGAGAGAGAGAGAGAGAGAGAGAGGAAGNNNNNNNNNNNNNNNNNNNNAGAGAGAGAGAGGGGGGGCAAAAAAGGACGGGCAAGGAGAGGCGGAGGACGCGCGAGGGAGGGAUGGCGGCGUUUAGCGUGACCGGCGGUCUCAAGUCCGGUUUCCUUCUGGUUGCGUCCACGUAACGGUUAGAAGAGAACCACGUCGCAGCCCAGCUAUCGUACCAAACCACUGAACCGCUACAGUUCCAUCGUAUAUCUUAGCGGCCCCACGAGAGGAUUCAGUCGUCUCAUGCCAUAUGACAUGGAUCUCGUUUGGUGUUACAAUUGGGCUUCAAGGAGAAGGCAUUUGGUGAUGGAAACGGAGAAGGGAACGGCUAUUGAACAGUUGCGCUGGAUCUGUCGCGAAAAGUGGGUGCACUCGCGACGAAGGAUGCAACAGCCCCGCCGGCUGGUGGGGCCGCAACCGGAGCAUUGUUUCCAACCGCAAGCGCUCGUUAAGUCUGGGACACCGGAUACGUGACAGCGUGGUUUAAAAUAAUGAUGUUAUAAUAUUGAGUUUAGAAGGACGGCAUCAUAACUGUUAUAAUGUCCAUAUAAUGAUUUCGGUUGCCUUAAUGAUGUUAUAUAGUUAUUGAGAUAGGAAACAUGAAAAAUAUAAUGAUCUUUUAUUUUCUAUCAUAAUGAAUCAUUACAAUGUAAAUAACGGUCAUCAUUUUUGCUUAAAUUUUUUAAAUAAAAUAUUUUUUUUUAAAUUUUAAAUUUAUCUUUCAAAAAUUUCUCUAAAAAUGAUAGUGCAAUGGAAUAGAUUAUAUUAUUUAUCUAAUAAAAAAUAAAGAAAAAAAAGAUAAUACCAUAGUUUUUGUGUUAUUAUACUUUAUUGUACUGCAUAAACAUAUUAUUGUAUUGUAGAAGGGAGGGUAUUCUUAGUUCCACAUUGGUUGUGAGUUAAGAAAAAAUUAUGAUUUAUAUAAGAGGGGAUCAUCUUUUCCAUAUGAGGUACUUUUUGAAUGACAAAAUCGUGAGGCUCAAAACGGCUCAUACAGUCUCCCAGACUAUAGGCUAUAGAUCAGAGCAGACAAUAUCUUACAUGUCGAGCCAUAAGCCCUUAAUCGUAGUAGUGGCCCGAAAAUAAGGGCACCACCAUCCAUAGAUUGUGGGGCUUCUUCCGUCUGAAGAUGACUAUCCUUCGCCUUUCGAAAGAUAAAAUUAUGAAGCCCAAAACGGCUCAUAUAGCCUUUGAACUGUAUGUCAUAGGUCAAGGCGGACAAUACCUCACAUACCAAGCUAUGAGUACUUGACCGCAAUAUACAUAAAAAUGACUUGAUAAAUUUUAGGAUAAAUUAUAGUAAUAUCCCUUAAUUUUAAUCUAAUUUUACUUAUACUCUUCAACUUUAAAAAAUAUCGAACUAGUCUUUCAAUUUUCAAAAUAUUUCAAAGUAAUCUUAUCAUUUGUUUACAAUAAAUGGUCUUGUGGAAGGUCUCAUGGAGGUCUCAUAGUCUUGUCAUUUACAAUAAAUGGAGAGAAACGACAGUGUUGAAGGUCUCAUAGGUGGGAUUGAAGGAGGAAAAGUGAGGAAGAAGGAGAGAGGGAAGGAGGGGUCACAAGUAGAUGUGGAGGUUUAGCCAUGGAGGGGGAGGGCUCAUAGACGAACUUGAAGGAGUAGGAGGAUGAUGAGGAGGAGAAAUAGAUGAGGAGAAAAAGGAGGAAGAAGGAAGAGUCAUUGACAAGGAAGAGACGGAGGUAGAGCAAACCAUCAUGGAGGCGAAGGGCUCAUGGACAGAUUUAGAAGAGGAAGAGGAGGAAGAAAGAGGGGUCACUGGUAAGAAAAAUGAUGAGAAGGAGAAGUGGAUAAGGAGAAGGAGAGAAAGGGAAGAAAAGGUUGCCAACAAGAAAGAGAUAGAAGUGGAGGGAAUUGCCAUGGAGAUGAAGGGCUCAUGGAGAGACUUAGAGGAGGAGGAGAAGUAGGUAAGGAGAAAGAAGAAAAGGGGGAAGGAGGGGUUGUCUGUGAGGAGGAAGGAGAGGAGGAAAAAGGAGGGAGGAGGGGAAAGGAUGACAAUAAGAAGAAGGGGGUGUUAAAAAAAGAGGGGAGGAAAAAAAAAAGAGGGAGGAGGGACGUCGGCAAUGGAGAUAGAGAAUGAGAGAAAUUAGAGAGAAAAGAAGAGGGAGGAGAUGAUGAUAAGGAUAUUUUGAUCAUGUUAUAAAAUGAAAAUAUCAUGUGAUAGUCAUGUGAUAUUAUUCUAUUAAUGAACAUGGAUGGUAAAACUACUUUGAAAUAUCUCAAAAAUUUGAAGGACUAGUUUGAUAAUUUUUAAAAUCGAGGGAUGCAAGCGAAAUUAGACUAAAGUUGAGGGAGUAUUUUUAUAAUUUAUCCUAAAUUUUAUAGUAUGAGAGUUAUAAUCUAUCUCAAAUCUUUAGUUUUAAUCUGGUAAUUUUAUUUUUUACUCGCAAAGUAGCAACAAAAGUGGGUAAUAUUUUACUUUAUAGAUAAGAAUAAGUUUGUUCUAUGAAAAAAUAAAAAGUGUUAUCCAAAUUAAAGAUACUUUCUCUCAAACAAAAACUUCGUAGACGACCAUCUUUAAUAUAUUAUACCAAUUUGAUGAAAGAAAAAAGAGAAAUUCCUCCAAUUUGCCCAAAUUGAUUCUUAAAAAAAAAUAAAAAAAAUCAAAAGCAAAGCUCUAGAGUUUUAUUUCUUUUGUUAAUUUCAUAAUAGAAUUAGUUGCAGUCCCUCUAUUUAUACUAGCAAGGCUAUUCGUUCUAUAUUUAGCCUAGAUUCUUCUACUAAUUAGAAGAAGUCAAAACUUUCUCAAAAUACUUGUAACUAAUAAAAAAAUUAUAAAAAAAACUAAAACCCUUUUAUAAUUGAAUUUCAACUUCUAUAUCAAUUUAACUCUGGCCAUCUUAUCCAAUUCUUCACAAAAUAUGAAUUACAGCUGGUCAAGGUCCUUUCCAAAUAAAAAAAUUUUAUAUUGAGUGGUCCAUUUGAAGGCCUAAAUAUCAUUUUAAGAUCCCAAUUGAUAUAGUAUCAUAGAUUUUGAAAAGUUAUGUCCAUCAAACAUUGUGAGGAGAGUUAUGGGUAUUGAAAAUUUUGACAUGUAACUUAGCUUCCAAUGUGCUGGAUCUUAUUCUUAGAUCACGUCCAAACCCAUCUAACAUGAUGGCUGGAGUAAUUCACAAUGGAUUUGUUAAUCCUCCAAGAUCAUAUAUAGAAGAGCUGCAUGCAAUAUAUUGUAUCAUGUUUAAUCGCAAACCAUAAGUCGCAAGAGAAAAAUAGAGUUAAUGAAGAUUCCAUUAGUUUCGAUGAAAAGAGAUUUCACCUGCCCUUCUGCUCUUAGUUCUCCCUUCUAUUGCUUUUGACAUCUUCGACCAAACCAUCACCACCUUCAGGGGCUAGCAUUGCUAGAGAACUAGAACUAUCAAAAUAGAUCAGGACCCAUGGGCCAGUCCAUUUGGCCCUAAAAAUGGGUCAGAUCGGGCUGAGAAAUUUUGGCCCAUUUAUGAAAGUGAAUUUUUUGAUCCGGCCUAUGUAGCCCAUGGGCUGAACCAAGUUAAGAUCGGAUCAGCCCGUGGGCUAGCCUAUACCCACAGCCCUCCACCCCUCCCCUCAGUCUCCUGGACCAAUCCCUAGCACAGUUGCCCCUUUCCUCCCCCGCCUCUCCUCACCCUUUAUCUCUCCCAUCAUAUCCGCUUUCGUCGCUGCCCCCUCCUUCUGCAGCCCCACCCCCCCUCCUCUCCUUCUACAACCUCUGCUGCCACCGCCUCCCAGCCCUUUUAAGCAACCCUGCAGUUGCCCUCCCUUCCCUUCUUUCCCUCCUUCAUCCCCUUCUCAACUUUCACAAGUUCGCCGAUGCCCAAUCCCUUCUCUUUUCCUUCAUCCCUCUCAACCGCCCUCGUUUUCUCCACCGCCACCUCCUCCGCCCCAAGCACCCCUCGUUGAAGGCCCUCCUCGACACUGCAGUCUCCUCCUAUGCUCGUGGCUUGCCUCUACCAGCCCCACCUCGCUGAGCAGCUCUUCCCGUCCAUGAAGCACCACCGCCUCCGUCCCUCCCUCGACACCACGAAUAUCCUACUUGACGCCCUCAUCCUCGACGCCCUCUCCGUCCCCCAACUUCACUCCCUCUCCCCCGCCUCUGUCCCCCUAAUCCGCUCACUAAACUGAAAUGGGUUGGUCCGACCCUGAUCCACAGCCCACGUGGGCUAGGGCUGGGUCGGGUUUUUACGGCCCAUUUUAACAAUUUUUGACAGCUCUAUAGAAAAGUCCGGCCUGAUCCAUUUUGAUAGCUCUAUAGAGAAUCGAUAUUUUCCUUGUGAGGCACGAAGGGUCUCGUUGGAGGAGAAGCCAUAAUAAUAAGAUCAAUUAUGAUGCAUAGAAUAAUGGAACAGGAAACAAAAGAAUGCUUGUUAAUCUCUACACAAUCUUGUUGCUGUUAUAUCUUUCAACGAGUGACCAUCAUCUAUGAACUUAAUAGGAGGUGGAUUUAAAUUUUUGUAGCUCCAAGAAAAAGAAAACCUUAACUCAACAUGUAUAGCCUUACCCAUCAUAAAACUUUAUCUAUAUGUAUGUCAAACUCAUAUUCCUGCAUAGUCCAUCCAGACUUAUCCCUAAAUAAAGAGUAUUUUUUUCGAAAAAAAUUAAUUUGAUUCGUUAUAUUUUAUGACUAAGGCUUCAAAUUUAGAUUUUAUAAGACAUGAGUAGUUGCUACUACAUAUAUAAAGUCUGACACCCACCUCCCAAUUGGGCCUUGUGUCUUCUAGCUGUUCAUCCUUUAUUUGGGGAUAAAUUAGGCCUUUGCUCCCUUCAGGGCUCAUUUUGGGUGCUAAAUAUGGCCGUGCAAUUUGUGCUCGUCAAAGUUGGACUUGGCCCCCAUUGAUCGGGAUACGAAGAACUGGCUUGGUGGUAACCAUGAGGCUUGAAGCCAUGCAGCUUAAUCUAUGUAAUUGCCAUUACUGGCAUUAGGGUUGGAAGUGAUAGUAAAGAGAAAGAGAAAAAAAUUUUUAUCCUCUAUUUAAAAAUUUUUAAAAAGUCAAAUAAGAAGUGUGAAGUUUUUUAUCAUUCUGACAUCGAGCUAUUUUUUCACAAGAUCUUCCCUGUAGUAUUAUCAUCGUAAUAGAGUUUAACCAUCAAAUUCAGAGUGGAUUUAUGUAGUUCCUCUAUGCUUAAGACAUCAGAAUAUCGAAUCGUGAAUGAAGAAAGAUAUUGGAAAAAAGCAUAUUGGAUAGAGAUCGUGAGGCUCCAAUUCUUGACUAGAAGAGAUACCAAAUUAAAGCCUCUACCCUUUCAUCCCUCGGAUAGAUAGAAAUUUUUAUCCCCCCUUUUUUCUUUUUCCAAUCUCCCUCUAUAUUAGUCACAUCUAUAUUUAUUUAAAGAAAGAAAAUACAACAUCAGUAAAUGUACCCAUAUUUCAUAGAUCAAUCCAAUAUCACCAUUUUUAUUUUCACAAAAAAAUGUAAGUUACUCCAGCACUCUAGGGGUCUAACAAUGUGCCUUUCUAUGUGAAACUAGUUUAUAUGUUAACAUCAUUUGGCCCUAAUGCCUCUCUUAUAAAGGCAAGCAAUGAGUACUCUUUGAUGCUUUAUUGGAUGUGGGGCGAAGGUAAUAUAUCUUCAAGCAUGUGUCCAUGGCUGUCAAUAAGAUACCUUCAGAUUAUUGAAGUUAGGGAAAAGAUGAUUUUUCAAUUUCAAUUAACUCUAAAUUGCAUUCUUUCGAUUGUGCCUAAUCUAGACAAAUCUAGUGCACAUCACCUAUCAUGCAUGAGAAUGCUUCAUUAGUUUGACUUUGAACCCUUAAAUUUCAUAACUGAGCCAUAAAAUGACUCUUUGAUGGGCUCACUCUUUUGGUUUUUGAGAACAUGGGUUCACUUACUUCCACCACUUUGUAUAUGGCUGACAAAGACAUGAGAUUUAGUUACUAUGUAGCUUCCAUUCCAUUCCUCUCCAAUUUUUUACAGUAGGAGGAAGCAUGAAUGGAAUUAUCAGGACUCUUUCUUGCCUCCUUGAGUGGUAGAAGACUGUGAACUUGCCAUCUACAAUAAAGAAAGGAAACUUGGUGAUUUUGGUUGAGAGAAGUCCCUGUACCAAUUUUGUUCAAUAUUUCACCAAGAACAGAAUGAAGGUACGUAUCAUGUCCUUUGAAAACCCAUCUUUUAUGCUAGCUUGGAACUACUUUGUCAUCACACUAAGAAUAUAAUCAAGAUAUGCUUCCAUCAUAAUAUUUUUGCAGGUGAUUUCAUGCAGAAUGUGUUAGAAAUUAAUUCUUAUCUAGAAAUCAUUAUCUUCUUUUUGUUGUUAUGAUUUUAAAAUCAAGAUUAUAAAAGAAAAAAUUAAAAAUAAAAUAUGAAUAUUGAAAAAAGUUUCAAAAUCAAGAUUAUAAAAGAAAAAAAUUGAAAAUAAAAUUUGAAUACUGAAAAGAGUUUAUCUAAAUUGAGUCAAAGCACCAAUGAGUGAGAGUGAAAUCGGAUAUAUCCCAGAAGAGUCGUGAUGCUUCGGAAGAUAACAUUUCCGAUGUGAUGCAAACUCGCCAUGCGAUGUGCAUAGCACCGUCGAAAUGGGCAUGCGCAUUUCACCAACCGACUUCCCUCAAAAUCUAGCUUGGGCUUCUUAGGAAAUGAUUUCUAAUCAAGCAAGAGUACUUGCUUUUACGUACACAUGAAGUGGGGCUAAAAUAGAAAAUAGUUUUUAAAAUAUUUGAAACUUGUCAGAUAGGGGAUAAGAUUGGUUUUAUUUUUAAAAGUUAAAUCUUUUAUAAGUUAAAACUCCAAGCGAAUGUUAUUAGAUACCCAUUUAACCUCUAUUAAGGCCAUUGCCUUCAAAACGAUUUGCUUCUCUUAUGUCAUCAAAAUCUCUAACCACAUAGGAGGCAUUUGGUAUAGGAUGAUUCAUUGAAAAUAAAAAAUAAUAUAGAUAGAAGUGAUGAGAUCACUAUAUUGACGUGCAAUAUAGUAAUCCUAUAUAGCAAUUGUUGGGAUAUACCGACCGAUCUCUUUCACGCCGACUCACCCUCGGGCCCAUCUGACCGGCGCCCGACUCUACCGACUGCACCAACCGACGACUGUCGACACUGUCCGAUCGAGGAUAUGUCGGUCGGACGGACUCAUUCUAUUCCCGACUAGCCGAACGGCGGAGCCCGACUCUACCGACUCACUGUCAGGCGGGGAUGGUGGCCGAUGUCCGAUUCCUGCAAUGCGCUAGACCAGCCGACGGUGUCCCUGGAUCUUCACCCGAUAUCCCACAACCAAAUGCCGAUGUAUGGUCAGUCGGCUCUCCCAAAUGCCGUACGACUGCUGAGGGCCGCCGUCCUGACAAGGGCAUGCAGCAUAGCCACUCUGGGACAUUGUCCUGCCAAGGACAUAGAUUAAUCCCAGCGAUUUGACAAUCCACGGCGACUUGACAGUCCGUGGCGACUUGACAGUCCGUGACGACUCUGACAACCUCUGGCGAUUUGACAACUCUCCCAGUAGUCUGCACCAUUAAUAACGGCACCAUGCCGCGCUCUACUAUAAAACGGGAAAGGCAACAGUGCUGCGAGGAGGUUUUUUCGAAACCCCUGGACUCAUUCUCUCUCUCUCGUUGAGUUUUCCUGAUUCUUUUCUACUGUUGCCUAGUCUCCUCCCUGACUUGACUGUCGGAGGGUCCCUGCCGGAGGUAUUUUCGGUCAGUGUGGACUUCUCUUGCAGGUGCUCGUUCCCGACGACCAGGCGACGAGGGGAUUGGCCGCAACAGGUUUGGCACGCCAGAAAGGGGUCGUCCGACCUCCACAUAGCUUGAAAAAAUCUCUUUCGAAAUGACAAGAACUAGGGCUCAGCGAUCGAGGGCCACCGGAUCGGCGAGGCACUCUUCCCGCCGGAAAGAGGCCUCUCCUCCGCCCUUCAUGGCGGAGCCCAGCUCUCCGCAUCCUGUGGUGACCACGGAGGUGCAAAUCGCGGUGAUUGUGUGGCAGAUGACUGUGUUAACGGAUGCAGUCAAGAGCCUACAACAACAACCAACCCGGUUGUCGCACUCGUCGGUGGGGCAACCGACGGCGCACCCGAUGCCCUCCAGGAGCAGCCGCCGACGUCCACGUCGGUCUCCGUCUCCUCCUCAGGAGCAGCUGUCACAGCACUCCCACCGAGAGGGGGAGAGGCAGACACGGCAUGAUACCCAUCGAUCCCGACGACCCUCUCCUUCCCAGCUGGAACGAGCGAGGAAGGAGAAGCGGCUGCGGACACCGUCCUCCUCCCCCUCA